Salvator merianae (Argentine black and white tegu) is the source of this 2139-nucleotide long non-coding RNA. The record is from Ensembl. NCBI's taxonomy places the organism in Eukaryota, Metazoa, Chordata, Lepidosauria, Squamata, Teiidae.
GGAGGGGGAAGGAGUGAGUACAGCAAGACACACUGCAUUAAGGGGUAUUAAAAAGACGGAAAAGGCCGUGUUAGGAACUUAUGCGGGGGGGGGGUGUCUUCGAAAUUGACAUGCUAUGCCUGUCCUUUACGGAUUCACACAUUUCGUUCUCCUCGCCUUGUGCACGAUGGGAUUCGGGGCUUCAACUUCUCACCAGCCUUGGCAGCCGACUGGGUUAUGCUUGGGCCAGCGACUGUCCCUCAGUCAACCUCCCUCGCAGGGUUCUUGUGAGGAGAGAAGAAGUGGAGGCGAAUAAAGCUUGGACUUCGAGUUCUUUGGAAGAAAGGCAGGAUCUAAGCGGAAAACCCGAAAGAACAUCUUCCCACCUCCACCCACCUCAGGGAAGGAAUCAGGAGGAGACGGCAGGAUUCUGCAGCUCGCGAUCGCUAUCAACAUNUCAUACACGUCAGAGUGUGCGAUCGGGAGGAAGAAAGCGAGCGAGCGAGAGUGACGCGAGCGAGAUCACGGGCCCUUUGCAGAUUUAAUGUAGUGACAAUAAUUGCCUGUUUGCUAUCGGCGCACAAGGGAGCGCAGCGCAGCCCAUUGUUUCCGAUCCUAGAAACCUAUUAACGAAUCUCUUUUCCCAACAAAGAUUCUAACCCCACCCACCUAUUCCACUCUGCCCAAUGAAAAGCAGAAUUGGGGGGAUGAGGAGGGGUACGAAUGUUAAAAGCUCGAUCAUUCCAAGGAUCUUACCCCCCCCCCGCUAGCAUUAAAAAAAAAAAGAAAAUGAGAAAUGUCAGCCUUUAUUCCUUGUCACAAUCAGCGCGGGGCGGGAUCUGUGUAACGAUCAUUCAGUAUUAACAUAACCCAAGAUAGCAGAAACGAGCAACAAGUCUGCUGAUUCAGGGUCUCCGGUCAUUGCUUUUUUCUGCGACCUCUAGCGGCGGAAACGUGUUUAGCACCUCACCGCAUCCCUACGCCUCUCCAAACUAAAAGCUGUUUGGGCGGGGGGGGGGGGUUGGUUGGUUGGUCACUUUGGGCUCAGGAUUGUAGGAGUCUGUUCCUCACACGCCGUAUACCGCACAUUGAUGACUUUAGUGAAACAAAUGGAGGAAACUCCCCUCCUAUAACUGUCGAUUGUANAGUCAACAUGCCAUUCAUUCUUGAAUGAUCAAUAAUGAUGAAUUUAAUUAGGUUGCCAUGUAUUUCAGCAGACAUUGUCUGUAUUAUAAACUACACUUCUGAAAUGCCUUCUUCUAUGCAGCUAUUGAAGGCAUAAGAACUCUGACUUGCAUUCCAUAUGGCAACCCUAUGCAUAGAGCUUUUAGUAAAGGCUCACGUGUAAGUUAUCUGAGCAGUCUUUGCCACAGCCUUGUCAUUACCAUUACAAAACAAAUACCAAUACAAUUUAAGGGUGAGAGUGUCCUUGUGCCUAAGUUGCAUGCAAUCCUUCCAGAUUUGCCAUAGGAUUAUCUGGAUUAUCUUCCAGAUAAUUGGGGGCAGAUUGUCUUUGCCACAGAGAGCAGAAGAAGUGAUUUUGGCAUUAGUGCUAUUGGGGCUCUGGCAAUUGCCAGAGAUGGCUGCCAGUGGAUUAGAUUUGGGUUCUUGAUCUUGCCAUUACUCAGCUGACAGCUGUAUUACUUUUUUAUUUCUUUCUAAGAAAGGCUGAUGAGUUUUAACCAUCAGACGAAAUGCAUCAUUUCCUCUCUAGGCAGUCUUUAUGCUAAAAAGGUCUUGACAGAAGGGGAAUAACAGGAAUUGAGCAAUCUGAUCCCAUGAAUUUUACUCAGUAGUAUGCUCUAAUAAGUGUAUGCAAUCUUAGUGAUAAGGACUGAUAUCUGUUGUUCUGUUACACUGUCAUGUGUAUAGUGAAAUUUGAAGCAGGUUUAUUAUGCCACAAUUCAACUAUUUCCUUUAGCAAACCAACAAGUUCUGUUUAUCACAUGUGCUGGUAGAUGCAGAUUCUUCUGAUCUUUCCUGUGGCUUAGUUUUGUAGCACUAGAUGUAAGAAAGACCAUUAGGUUUUUCUUUCUUAAUUUUUUUAUUUUAUUAAUUUAAUUUCAUCAGUUGAUUAAGUUUUUCUGUAGCUAUGUGUGCUAUUUUACUUCCUUUAUCAUUGUGCAAUUCUUAUGGUGAUCUUUGAUCAAAAUAAAGAAG